UUUUUUGGCUUUUUUUG
Molecule: small RNA, 17 nt
Filed under: Arabidopsis thaliana (thale cress)
Lineage: Eukaryota; Viridiplantae; Streptophyta; Magnoliopsida; Brassicales; Brassicaceae
Description: ATSL177380
Source: RNAcentral